UGAUUAAACACUCCCAGGUUCAAAUUGACCCACGAACAUUUUUGCUGUACCCUAGAAACGAACAUAACAGGAGGGUUAAAUGAACAAGCCGGUGCUGAUCGGCUCUCAAUAAGCCACAGGAUGAGCGGAACCAGCGGUAACUCCGAACAAAGCAGCAGCGAUCAUUGUGGAUAUACGGAAACUAUAGGAAAGGUUCUGAUCUGGUGGAGUGAAGAAACUGUGAAACAUGUUGCGGGAUAUAAAGUGGAAGAAAAGAUUUUACGUCUUUCAAAGAGAACUGGCACUGUAUGAGAAAUCUUUAGAUGUGAUGAUCGUAAGAUCCACAAGGUGGCGGUAAUGCAAUGACAUGAAUGAACGACAGUCAUAAA
This is a long non-coding RNA of Xiphophorus couchianus (Monterrey platyfish), 368 nucleotides long. RefSeq lists it as uncharacterized. The transcript is spliced from 2 exons. Lineage: Eukaryota; Metazoa; Chordata; Actinopteri; Cyprinodontiformes; Poeciliidae. The record is from RefSeq and is a predicted model, not a curated record.